UGAUGCAAGGUUAAGCAGCGAAUGUGGAGCCGUAGCGAAAGCGAGUCUGAAUAGGGCGUUGAGUAUUUGGUCGUAGACCCGAAACCAGGUGAUCUACCCUUGGUCAGGUUGAAGUUCAGGUAACACUGAAUGGAGGACCGAACCGACUUACGUUGAAAAGUGAGCGGAUGAACUGAGGGUAGCGGAGAAAUUCCAAUCGAACUUGGAGAUAGCUGGUUCUCUCCGAAAUAGCUUUAGGGCUAGCCUCAAGUGAUGAUUAUUGGAGGUAGAGCACUGUUUGGACGAGGGGCCCCUCUCGGGUUACCGAAUUCAGACAAACUCCGAAUGCCAAUCAAUUUAACUUGGGAGUCAGAACAUGGGUGAUAAGGUCCGUGUUCGAAAGGGAAACAGCCCAGACCACCAGCUAAGGUCCCAAAAUAUAUGUUAAGUGGAAAAGGAUGUGGCGUUGCCCAGACAACUAGGAUGUUGGCUUAGAAGCAGCCAUCAUUUAAAGAGUGCGUAAUAGCUCACUAGUCGAGUGACACUGCGCCGAAAAUGUACCGGGGCUAAACAUAUUACCGAAGCUGUGGAUUGUCCUUCGGACAAUGGUAGGAGAGCGUUCUAAGGGCGUUGAAGCAUGAUCGCAAGGACAUGUGGAGCGCUUAGAAGUGAGAAUGCCGGUGUGAGUAGCGAAAGACGGGUGAGAAUCCCGUCCACCGAUUGACUA
RNAcentral lists this ribosomal RNA (706 nucleotides) under Staphylococcus capitis. RNAcentral describes it as "bacterial LSU rRNA". It matches the Rfam family "Bacterial large subunit ribosomal RNA", at positions 636 to 1347 of the family's 2925-position model. Lineage: Bacteria; Bacillati; Bacillota; Bacilli; Caryophanales; Staphylococcaceae. The record is from RNAcentral.